CAGUCGCCGCGGUAACACGUAGGGUGCAAGCGUUGUCCGGAAUUAUUGGGCGUAAAGAGCUCGUAGGCGGUUUGUCGCGUCUGCUGUGAAAUCCCGAGGCUCAACCUCGGGCUUGCAGUGGGUACGGGCAGACUAGAGUGCGGUAGGGGAGAUUGGAAUUCCUGGUGUAGCGGUGGAAUGCGCAGAUAUCAGGAGGAACACCGAUGGCGAAGGCAGAUCUCUGGGCCGUAACUGACGCUGAGGAGCGAAAGCGUGGGGAGCGAACAGGAUUAGAUACCCGUGUAGUCCCUGUCUCUUAUAC
This 301-nucleotide ribosomal RNA is filed under the name uncultured bacterium. RNAcentral describes it as "partial 16S ribosomal RNA". It matches the Rfam family "Bacterial small subunit ribosomal RNA", at positions 509 to 807 of the family's 1533-position model. The record is from RNAcentral.